Molecule: ribosomal RNA, 253 nt
Filed under: uncultured bacterium
Lineage: Bacteria
Description: partial 16S ribosomal RNA
Rfam family: Bacterial small subunit ribosomal RNA
Source: RNAcentral
GACGGAGGGUGCUAGCGUUGUUCGGAAUCACUGGGCGUAAAGGGCGCGUAGGCGGGCGGUCAAGUCGGAGGUGAAAGCCUGCAGCUCAACUGCAGAAGUGCCCCCGAUACUGGUCGCCUCGAGGGAGGUAGGGGCGUGCGGAACUUCCGGUGGAGCGGUGAAAUGCGUAGAUAUCAGGAGGAACACCAAUGGCGAAGGCAGCUCGCUGGGACGGUACUGACGCUGAGACGCGAAAGCGUGGGGAGCGAACAGG